This is a long non-coding RNA of Sinocyclocheilus rhinocerous, 114 nucleotides long. RefSeq lists it as uncharacterized. The record is from RefSeq and is a predicted model, not a curated record. NCBI's taxonomy places the organism in Eukaryota, Metazoa, Chordata, Actinopteri, Cypriniformes, Cyprinidae. The transcript is spliced from 4 exons.
GGCCCCCCUCAUGUUUACCUUCUACAGAGGCACCAACGAUCUUCUCAGCUGCUCUCACUAUGCAUUGAAGUGUCUUGCGGCAGGACGCGUUGCAGGCGCCAUACCACACAGUGA